AACGAACGCUGGCGGCAUGCCUAACACAUGCAAGUCGAACGAACCCUUCGGGGUUAGUGGCGCACGGGUGCGUAACGCGUGGGAAUCUGCCCUUUGCUUCGGAAUAACUCAGGGAAACUUGUGCUAAUACCGGAUGAUGUCUUCGGACCAAAGAUUUAUCGGCAAGGGAUGAGCCCGCGUAGGAUUAGGUAGUUGGUGGGGUAAAGGCCUACCAAGCCGACGAUCCUUAGCUGGUCUGAGAGGAUGAUCAGCCACACUGGGACUGAGACACGGCCCAGACUCCUACGGGAGUCAGCAGUGGGGAAUAUUGGACAAUGGGCGCAAGCCUGAUCCAGCAAUGCCGCGUGAGUGAUGAAGGCCCUCGGGUCGUAAAGCUCUUUUACCAGGGAUGAUAAUGACAGUACCUGGAGAAUAAGCUCCGGCUAACUCCGUG
This 433-nucleotide ribosomal RNA is filed under the name uncultured bacterium. RNAcentral describes it as "partial 16S ribosomal RNA". It matches the Rfam family "Bacterial small subunit ribosomal RNA", at positions 29 to 507 of the family's 1533-position model. The record is from RNAcentral.